ACAUCAUUUAAGGGUUGGCAGUGGAGGCAGAGGGUUCUUGCUGGAGAUCCCUGCCUGCUGGAGGCUCUUCCAUAGAAUUUGCCUUCAAGGAUAAAUCUUCAAGUUUUACUCAUAGGCCAGUGUUGCUUUCCGUACAUCCCAUGCCCCCGCAAGACGCCUACUACAACAGUCCAGGAAUACUCUGGCAUACGUCCUGUUGACUGGCCUGUGCUUCUUUCUGAAGAUAGAUCUUUGGUAUGAAAACAGAUGCCUGGUUUUCUUCUUUUACAGGAUGCUUUAGAUGGGACACGGUGUGAAGAACAUUAUGCAAUGCACACUGAUAUAUCACCCUGACCCUAAAACGUAGAGUGCAUCAGACAAUAUUCCUCAGUUGAAUUAUACUCAGCUCAACACAAACAUUUUAAAUAGAUGAACCUUAAAGAAGAAAUGCUGCUCUAAGACAUUUCAAAGGCAUUUGCAAAAAAAAUAUGACUUGGGAUUUUAGAGUUCUUCUUGUUUUCAUUACUCUGUGCUCAAGCAUUGGCCAAGUAUCAAAGCUCCCAAAAGCAGCAAGACAACUGGGAUAUUUAAAAAAAAGGAAAAAAGGGAAAGGAACCUACAAACUAUCCCAUGAAAGAAAGAUAUUUUUCUCUGAAGUUUUAGUCUCUACUGCAAGGUUUCAUUCUUAUUAUAUUUUUAAAUCAAUCUACAGUGAUUCUCUAAUUAUACUGUUGUCAGCAUAGCCACAGUAUAUCCUUAAAUCAUUAUAAAGUCGUACUGAAAUUAAUCUACCUAGAUCCCAGGGUUCAGACUACCAUCUGUAGUCUCAGCAUACAAUGCUCCUUUGUAAUGCCCUUUUAAUUUAGCCUUUGGAAAGUCCUCUGUGACAGCCAAACCAAGUGGUUUCAGAGAGUGGCAAUUCUUGAAGCUACUUUUCAUCAAUCAUUUCCACUUUGUUCCCUUUUAAAACAAUGCAUUCAAUUUUCACUUUAAUUGAGAAACUGAAAACAUAAGAUGAGGCAUAAAUAACACAAAGACUGUGUAAAAUACAUGUCCUUGACAGUGUCAUCCUACAGUUUCUGCUGUCUUCAGGAAUGAAAUUGACUUUUCCAGGUAAUUGAAAAAGUGUUUUUAAUAGCACCAGUUGUUAACUACUGUAUACUGCAGUGAUUCAAAUAGAACUGGAUAAGACUUUGUCCUUAUUUUUAAUAAGAUAAAUAAAUACAAUGCUAGGGCUUCUCUGAAAGUGAUAUCUCCUAUUUUAUGAUGUUGGCCUGCAGCAACAGAGACAGAUGCUGGCGGUAUGGCAGUAGAGGUCGAACCUUCCCACCAAUAUCCUGUUACAUUUUGUUGCCACGUGACUGAUGACAGCAGUGGGGCAACCUGACAAUAUGACGUCAGGCGUAGAAUUGCGUAUGAAACAAAGGAAUUGAAUUCUUCCAAGUGGAAAAAAAUACACUCAUUAACAUUCACUAACACUUGAUGAACAGUGUUAGAGAGUGAAGAGUGGUUGUGAGCACUGUAAGGUGGUAAGUAAGUGAUGCAUUUCAGCAUUGGCGACAGCGAUGUGAAAGACAAGGUGUUCUGGAUGGUCAUGCACAGCUGUCACACUACAAAAUGAAGAGUAUCUCGGUCAGUUCAUCCAUGUGAAUCACCAGAUUAUGACCAGGGAGCUUUGUGUGGAGCUUCAAUGUGUUGGAAAUGAAGGUGGCAACGUUGGAAUAUCCCACAGUUUUUGCCAGAUGUACAAAACAAACUGGGAAACCUACUAUUAAGUUGUGCUACCAUGAAACAGUUCAGAAAUAAGGAAGAUGAUUUCUGAGAACCAAGGAAUUGCUAAAGACUCCUAUUUCAUUACAGAGUGUAAAGCUGUGGACAUUCAGUGCUUUUAUUUUAAUUUCCACUCUGAGAUAUAAUGAUGACUAUAUACUCUGAUAUAUGACUUGAAUGUAUGAUUGGC
RNAcentral lists this long non-coding RNA (1939 nucleotides) under Gallus gallus (chicken). Lineage: Eukaryota; Metazoa; Chordata; Aves; Galliformes; Phasianidae. The record is from RNAcentral.